AGAGUAGGAAGACCGAUAGCGAACAAGUAGCGUGAGCGAAAGUUUGAAAAGCACUUUGGAAAGAGAGUGACAUAGAACCUGAAGUCGUGACAAUGACAAUGGAAGUACCUCCAUUUCAACGGCCAAAACCAGCCUCACAGCAUUAUCCUAUUAGGGUUAAAAAUCUAGUAGGUAACUAAGUGCAAGAUGAGAGGCCAUGGUGAAGUGGGCGGAGAGUAAGGGGUGUCGAUUUUUAUUAAAGCGGCAUUUUUUCCUUCUCUGUGAUCCUCGAUGUUGGCGAAGGAAAUGGUGCCCCCACCCGUCUUGAAACACGGACCAAGGAGUCAAACAGACGCGCAAGGGAGGAGAUAUUGUUGCCAGUACUUCUCUCGUACUGAAAGGGAGAUGAGAGUAGGAAGACCGAUAGCGAACAAGUAGCGUGAGCGAAAGUUUGAAAAGCACUUUGGAAAGAGAGUGACAUAGAACCUGAAGUCGUGACAAUGACAAUGGAAGUACCUCCAUUUCAACGGCCAAAACCAGCCUCACAGCAUUAUCCUAUUAGGGUUAAAAAUCUAGUAGGUAACUAAGUGCAAGAUGAGAGGCCAUGGUGAAGUGGGCGGAGAGUAAGGGGUGUCGAUUUUUAUUAAAGCGGCAUUUUUUCCUUCUCUGUGAUCCUCGAUGUUGGCGAAGGAAAUGGUGCCCCCACCCGUCUUGAAACACGGACCAAGGAGUCAAACAGACGCGCAAGGGAGGAGAUAUUGUUGCCAGUACUUCUCUCGUACUGAAAGGGAGAUGCAGACAAGAAUUAAGGCACCAAGUGGGCCUUCUUCGGUAAGCGGACGAGGCGAUGCGGAAUGAACCAGUUAGGGAUAUGUGGCGUCAAAACUUAUGGGCUCAUUCUCGAUACGUGAAAAGGGUGUUGGUGGAUAGGGACAGUUGGACGGUGGCCAUGGAAGUCGGCACCCGCUAAGGAGUGUGUAACAACUCACCAACCGAAUCCACCGG
Molecule: ribosomal RNA, 984 nt
Filed under: Trypanosoma avium
Lineage: Eukaryota; Euglenozoa; Kinetoplastea; Trypanosomatida; Trypanosomatidae
Description: large subunit ribosomal RNA
Rfam family: Eukaryotic large subunit ribosomal RNA (bases 130-984)
Source: RNAcentral